Molecule: ribosomal RNA, 462 nt
Filed under: uncultured bacterium
Lineage: Bacteria
Description: bacterial SSU rRNA
Rfam family: Bacterial small subunit ribosomal RNA
Source: RNAcentral
CCGGAGGCAGCAGUGGGGAAUUUUGGACAAUGGGCGCAAGCCUGAUCCAGCAAUGCCGCGUGAGUGAAGAAGGCCUUCGGGUUGUAAAGCUCUUUUGUCAGGGAAGAAACGACGGUCUCGAAUAAAGACAGUUAAUGACGGUACCUGAAGAAUAAGCACCGGCUAACUACGUGCCAGCAGCCGCGGUAAUACGUAGGGUGCAAGCGUUAAUCGGAAUUACUGGGCGUAAAGCGUGCGCAGGCGGUUCUGUAAGUCAGAUGUGAAAUCCCCGGGCUCAACCUGGGAAUGGCAUUUGAGACUGCAAAGCUAGAGUGUGUCAGAGGGGGGUAGAAUUCCACGUGUAGCAGUGAAAUGCGUAGAGAUGUGGAGGAAUGCCGAUGGCGAAGGCAGCCCCCUGGGAUAACACUGACGCUCAUGCACGAAAGCGUGGGGAGCAAACAGGAUUAGAAACCCCGGUAGUCC